AUUGAAUAUACAUUAAUAGGCUUCAUAAGGAAGAUGGUUAGAAGAAACAUAUUUCUUAGCACAGCCGUAAUGUACGACUGAUCCACUUGUUAAAUGAAGGUUAGUAAUUAAAAAAAAAUAAUAAAAUAAAAUAAAAUUACUUACUCGGGAAAAAUAGAGAUGACACUUUUUCCAAGUCGUUUGUGACAAAACAAGCAAGUUUUCUCUCGGGUAAUUACUACUUUUUCAGAACGAACUUUAGUCAAUUCCUCAUUCAAAUCUUCCAAACGUUUUUGAUAUAAUUUAGAUUGCGUUUCUUUAUUACUCAGUUCUUCAAAUAACUGGCGAAAUUGAGAAGAGAACAAAGAAUGAUAACUUUUCAUAGAUAUGUUUUUUGGCAGUAAAGGAAAAACUCUGUUUAAAUCCAAGCGUGAACUGUACUUUGUUAUAAAAUCUAAAAUGUUUAGAGAACCGGAUUUGUAGUUCUUAGAUAUUUCAGCAAGUAGCAUA
Schizosaccharomyces pombe (fission yeast) is the source of this 489-nucleotide non-coding RNA. The record is from the annotation of a GenBank genome assembly. Lineage: Eukaryota; Fungi; Ascomycota; Schizosaccharomycetes; Schizosaccharomycetales; Schizosaccharomycetaceae.